UUGAUCUCGGCUCAGGUAGGGAUACCCGCUGAACUUAAGCAUAUCAAUAAUGCG
Molecule: ribosomal RNA, 54 nt
Filed under: Chaenothecopsis nana
Lineage: Eukaryota; Fungi; Ascomycota; Eurotiomycetes; Mycocaliciales; Mycocaliciaceae
Description: partial 28S ribosomal RNA
Source: RNAcentral